GAAAGUUGGGGGCUCGAAGACGAUCAGAUACCGUCCUAGUCUCAACCAUAAACGAUGCCGACCAGGGAUCGGCGGAUGUUGCUUAUAGGACUCCGCCGGCACCUUAUGAGAAAUCAAAGUCUUUGGGU
Molecule: ribosomal RNA, 128 nt
Filed under: Sorghum bicolor (sorghum)
Lineage: Eukaryota; Viridiplantae; Streptophyta; Magnoliopsida; Poales; Poaceae
Also listed under: 1 other name
Description: rRNA SSU_rRNA_eukarya
Rfam family: Eukaryotic small subunit ribosomal RNA
Source: RNAcentral